AAGUCGUAACAAGGUCUCCGUAGGUGAACCUGCGGAGGGAUCAUUAACACUAUUUGGCUUGUCACAAUUUGUUUCACGACAAUAUUGAGUCAAGUUCAAAUUUCCACACACAUUGCGAACUUGUUGGUUUCUCUUCUCGUCAAACAGAAGGGAGCUGACCUAACCAAAACUGCCUCGAGGGUAAGGUUGCCGACGCGACGCAGUGAACGACCAUUCAUUCUUUUUGGAGUGAAUGAUUCGUAGCUCCGCUUCCGUCCUUCGACGUGGUUCAUUUUGGGAGAUGUCACACUGCAAGAUGUCUCGGCCCCCUUUGCCAUCACCUUUAAACCAAUCGACUAAUUGAAAAAGAUUAACGGAAACGUUUGAUCUUUUAAAUAUCUAAAACUAAGCACAACUCUUAGCAACGGAUAUCUUGGUUCUC
This 421-nucleotide unclassified non-coding RNA is filed under the name fungal sp. RNAcentral's name for it is "partial internal transcribed spacer region". The stretch from base 1 to 46 matches the Rfam family "Eukaryotic small subunit ribosomal RNA", at positions 1786 to 1831 of the family's 1831-position model. The record is from RNAcentral. Lineage: Eukaryota; Fungi.